UACGGAGGGUGCGAGCGUUAAUCGGAAUUACUGGGCGUAAAGCGUGCGUAGGCGGUUGGCAAAGUCAGCUGUGAAAGCCCCGGGCUUAACCUGGGAAUGGCGGUUGAAACUAGUCGACUUGAAUCUGGCAGAGGGGGGUGGAAUUCCACGUGUAGCAGUGAAAUGCGUAGAGAUGUGGAGGAACACCGAUGGCGAAGGCAGCCCCCUGGGCUGAGAUUGACGCUCAGGCACGAAAGCGUGGGGAGCAAACAGG
This 253-nucleotide ribosomal RNA is filed under the name uncultured bacterium. Its description in RNAcentral is "partial 16S ribosomal RNA". It matches the Rfam family "Bacterial small subunit ribosomal RNA", at positions 524 to 776 of the family's 1533-position model. The record is from RNAcentral.